This is a non-coding RNA of Loxodonta africana (African savanna elephant), 46 nucleotides long. NCBI's taxonomy places the organism in Eukaryota, Metazoa, Chordata, Mammalia, Proboscidea, Elephantidae. The record is from Rfam.
CCAAAGGCUCUUUUCAGAGCCGCCCAUUGUGUCAACGAAAGAAGCU